RNAcentral lists this ribosomal RNA (739 nucleotides) under uncultured Actinomycetes bacterium. RNAcentral describes it as "bacterial SSU rRNA". It matches the Rfam family "Bacterial small subunit ribosomal RNA", at positions 360 to 1111 of the family's 1533-position model. The record is from RNAcentral. Lineage: Bacteria; Bacillati; Actinomycetota; Actinomycetes.
AAUAUUGCACAAUGGGCGGAAGCCUGAUGCAGCGACGCCGCGUGAGGGAUGACGGCCUUCGGGUUGUAAACCUCUUUCAGCAGGGACGAAGCGUAAGUGACGGUACCUGCAGAAGAAGCACCGGCUAACUAUGUGCCAGCAGCCGCGGUAAUACGUAGGGUGCGAGCGUUGUCCGGAAUUACUGGGCGUAAAGAGCUCGUAGGCGGUUUGUCACGUCGUCUGUGAAAUCCUAGGGCUUAACCCUGGACGUGCAGGCGAUACGGGCUGACUUGAGUACUACAGGGGAGACUGGAAUUUCUGGUGUAGCGGUGGAAUGCACAGAUAUCAGGAAGAACACCGAUGGCGAAGGCAGGUCUCUGGGUAGUAACUGACGCUGAGGAGCGAAAGCAUGGGUAGCGAACAGGAUUAGAUACCCUGGUAGUCCAUGCCGUAAACGGUGGGCGCUAGGUGUGGGGUUCCUUCCACGGGCUCCGCGCCGUAGCUAACGCAUUAAGCGCCCCGCCUGGGGAGUACGGCCGCAAGGCUAAAACUCAAAGAAAUUGACGGGGGCCCGCACAAGCGGCGGAGCAUGUGGAUUAAUUCGAUGCAACGCGAAGAACCUUACCUGGGCUUGACAUAUAGAGGAUCGCUACAGAGAUGUGGUUUCCCUUGUGGCUUCUAUACAGGUGGUGCAUGGUUGUCGUCAGCUCGUGUCGUGAGAUGUUGGGUUAAGUCCCGCAACGAGCGCAACCCUUGUCUU